GAUGAACGCUAGCGGCAGGCUUAACACAUGCAAGUCGAGGGGUAGAAGAAGCUUGCUUUUUGAGACCGGCGCACGGGUGCGUAACGCGUAUGCAAUCUACCUUGUACAGAGGGAUAGCCCAGAGAAAUUUGGAUUAAUACCUCAUAGUGUAAUUGAAUGGCAUCAUUUGAUUACUAAAGUUCCAACGGUACAAGAUGAGCAUGCGUCCCAUUAGCUAGUUGGUGUGGUAACGGCACACCAAGGCAACGAUGGGUAGGGGUCCUGAGAGGGAGAUCCCCCACACUGGUACUGAGACACGGACCAGACUCCUACGGGUGGCUG
RNAcentral lists this ribosomal RNA (321 nucleotides) under uncultured Bacteroidota bacterium. RNAcentral describes it as "bacterial SSU rRNA". It matches the Rfam family "Bacterial small subunit ribosomal RNA", at positions 28 to 351 of the family's 1533-position model. Lineage: Bacteria; Pseudomonadati; Bacteroidota. The record is from RNAcentral.